This 1367-nucleotide ribosomal RNA is filed under the name Pseudomonas asiatica. Its description in RNAcentral is "partial 23S ribosomal RNA". It matches the Rfam family "Bacterial large subunit ribosomal RNA", at positions 1579 to 2925 of the family's 2925-position model. Lineage: Bacteria; Pseudomonadati; Pseudomonadota; Gammaproteobacteria; Pseudomonadales; Pseudomonadaceae. The record is from RNAcentral.
UAGGCGACGAAGUGGUUGAUACCAUGCUUCCAAGAAAAGCUCCUAAGCUUCAGAUAACUGGGAACCGUACCCCAAACCGACACAGGUGGUUAGGUAGAGAAUACCAAGGCGCUUGAGAGAACUCGGGUGAAGGAACUAGGCAAAAUGGCACCGUAACUUCGGGAGAAGGUGCGCCGGCGAGGGUGAAGGACUUGCUCCGUAAGCCCAUGCCGGUCGAAGAUACCAGGCCGCUGCGACUGUUUAUUAAAAACACAGCACUCUGCAAACACGAAAGUGGACGUAUAGGGUGUGACGCCUGCCCGGUGCCGGAAGGUUAAUUGAUGGGGUUAGCGCAAGCGAAGCUCUUGAUCGAAGCCCCGGUAAACGGCGGCCGUAACUAUAACGGUCCUAAGGUAGCGAAAUUCCUUGUCGGGUAAGUUCCGACCUGCACGAAUGGCGUAACGAUGGCGGCGCUGUCUCCACCCGAGACUCAGUGAAAUUGAAAUCGCUGUGAAGAUGCAGUGUAUCCGCGGCUAGACGGAAAGACCCCGUGAACCUUUACUAUAGCUUUGCACUGGACUUUGAAUUUGCUUGUGUAGGAUAGGUGGGAGGCUUUGAAGUGGGGACGCCAGUUCUCAUGGAGCCAUCCUUGAAAUACCACCCUGGCAACUUUGAGGUUCUAACUCAGGUCCGUUAUCCGGAUCGAGGACAGUGUAUGGUGGGUAGUUUGACUGGGGCGGUCUCCUCCCAAAGAGUAACGGAGGAGUACGAAGGUGCGCUCAGACCGGUCGGAAAUCGGUCGUAGAGUAUAAAGGCAAAAGCGCGCUUGACUGCGAGACAAACACGUCGAGCAGGUACGAAAGUAGGUCUUAGUGAUCCGGUGGUUCUGUAUGGAAGGGCCAUCGCUCAACGGAUAAAAGGUACUCCGGGGAUAACAGGCUGAUACCGCCCAAGAGUUCAUAUCGACGGCGGUGUUUGGCACCUCGAUGUCGGCUCAUCACAUCCUGGGGCUGAAGCCGGUCCCAAGGGUAUGGCUGUUCGCCAUUUAAAGUGGUACGCGAGCUGGGUUUAGAACGUCGUGAGACAGUUCGGUCCCUAUCUGCCGUGGACGUUUGAGAUUUGAGAGGGGCUGCUCCUAGUACGAGAGGACCGGAGUGGACGAACCUCUGGUGUUCCGGUUGUCACGCCAGUGGCAUUGCCGGGUAGCUAUGUUCGGAAGAGAUAACCGCUGAAAGCAUCUAAGCGGGAAACUUGCCUCAAGAUGAGAUCUCACUGGGAUCUUGAAUCCCCUGAAGGGCCGUCGAAGACUACGACGUUGAUAGGUUGGGUGUGUAAGCGCUGUGAGGCGUUGAGCUAACCAAUACUAAUUGCCCGUGAGGCUUGACCAU